This 730-nucleotide non-coding RNA is filed under the name [Torrubiella] hemipterigena. RNAcentral's name for it is "Torrubiella hemipterigena Eukaryotic small subunit ribosomal RNA". It matches the Rfam family "Eukaryotic small subunit ribosomal RNA", at positions 1 to 736 of the family's 1831-position model. The record is from Rfam by way of RNAcentral. Lineage: Eukaryota; Fungi; Ascomycota; Sordariomycetes; Hypocreales; Clavicipitaceae.
UAUCUGGUUGAUUCUGCCAGUAGUCAUAUGCUUGUCUCAAAGAUUAAGCCAUGCAUGUCUAAGUAUAAGCAAUUAUACAGCGAAACUGCGAAUGGCUCAUUAUAUAAGUUAUCGUUUAUUUGAUAGUACCUUACUACUUGGAUAACCGUGGUAAUUCUAGAGCUAAUACAUGCUAAAAAUCCCGACUUCGGAAGGGAUGUAUUUAUUAGAUUAAAAACCAAUGCCCUUUGGGCUCCUUGGUGAUUCAUGAUAACUUCUCGAAUCGCAUGGCCUUGCGCCGGCGAUGGCUCAUUCAAAUUUCUUCCCUAUCAACUUUCGAUGUUUGGGUAUUGGCCAAACAUGGUCGCAACGGGUAACGGAGGGUUAGGGCUCGACCCCGGAGAAGGAGCCUGAGAAACGGCUACUACAUCCAAGGAAGGCAGCAGGCGCGCAAAUUACCCAAUCCCGACUCGGGGAGGUAGUGACAAUAAAUACUGAUACGAGGCUCUUUUGGGCCUUGUAAUUGGAAUGAGUACAAUUUAAAUCUCUUAACGAGGAACAAUUGGAGGGCAAGUCUGGUGCCAGCAGCCGCGGUAAUUCCAGCUCCAAUAGCGUAUAUUAAAGUUGUUGUGGUUAAAAAGCUCGUAGUUGAACCUUGGGCCUGGCUGGCCGGUCCGCCUCACCGCGUGUACUGGUCCGGCCGGGCCUUUCCCUCUGUGGAACCUCAUGCCCUUCACUGGGUGUGGCGGGG